RNAcentral lists this microRNA precursor (200 nucleotides) under Medicago truncatula (barrel medic). RNAcentral describes it as "MIR2670 microRNA precursor family". It matches the Rfam family "MIR2670 microRNA precursor family". The record is from Rfam by way of RNAcentral. Lineage: Eukaryota; Viridiplantae; Streptophyta; Magnoliopsida; Fabales; Fabaceae.
UCGGAGUAAAAUAGUGAGAAGCCGACAUGGGGAAAUGAUCGACCCUUGGAAUAAGUUUAAAUUUGUUUUUUUUUUUACUCCAUAAACUUUUUACCGUGGGUAAAAGAUUCUUGCUGGGGUAUAAAAAAACCAGAUUUAAAUUUAGCCCAAGGGUUGGUGAUGUAUUUUCCCCAAGAAGGCGGCUCACUAUUUUACCCCAA